GAGAGAGACAUGCGCGCAUAUCAAUAAGCGGAGGAAAAGAAACUAACAAGGAUUCCCUUAGUAACGGCGAGUGAAGCGGGAAGAGCUCAAAUUUGAAAUCUUCAAGGUUUUACCUUGACGAAUUGUAGUUUAAAGAAGUGUUUUCUGCUGAAGUUUUGGUAAAAGUUCUUUGGAAUAGGACAUCAUAGAGGGUGAGAAUCCCGUAUUUGACCAUUAUUUUCAGCUUUGUGAUACACUUUCAAAGAGUCGGAUUGUUUGGGAAUGCAGUCCAAAAUGGGUGGUAAAUUUCAUCUAAAGCUAAAUAUUGGCGAGAGACCGAUAGCGAACAAGUACCGUGAGGGAAAGAUGAAAAGAACUUUGAAAAGAGAGUUAAACAGUACGUGAAAUUGUCAAAAGGGAAGCGUUUGACACCAGUGUUGUUUUCUCGAAAAUCAAUUAAAAAUGGCUCGAUUUUGUAUUGCUGAGACCUUAAAAGCUCACUGUACAUUUUUCGUGUCUUUUUUAAUGCACUUUUCGUUUAACGAGUCAACAUCAGUUUCUUUCGUUGUAAAAGGGUCAUUGGAAGGUGGCUUUCUUUUCGGAGAAAGUGUUUAUAGCCUUUGGCCUCUGCAAUCGAAGAGACUGAGGUCUGCAGCGUAGACUCUUCGGGGUUAGAUACAUUUGUGCUAAGUUAUAGCUUUUUAUAGACAACUUGUUGACUAUAAUUAGUCUUGUAGCUUACUCGCUUAUGCUAUUUUACCUACGCUUAGGAUGUUGAAGAUGUAGCACAUCAU
This 773-nucleotide ribosomal RNA is filed under the name uncultured Neocallimastigales. RNAcentral's name for it is "partial large subunit ribosomal RNA". It matches the Rfam family "Eukaryotic large subunit ribosomal RNA", at positions 23 to 634 of the family's 3401-position model. Lineage: Eukaryota; Fungi; Neocallimastigomycota; Neocallimastigomycetes; Neocallimastigales. The record is from RNAcentral.